Molecule: ribosomal RNA, 253 nt
Filed under: uncultured bacterium
Lineage: Bacteria
Description: partial 16S ribosomal RNA
Rfam family: Bacterial small subunit ribosomal RNA
Source: RNAcentral
UACGUAGGGGGCUAGCGUUGUCCGGAUUUAUUGGGCGUAAAGAGCGUGUAGGCGGCCUGGUAGGUCUGCUGUGAAAACUCGAGGCUCAACCUCGAGAUGUCGGCGGAAACUAUCUGGCUAGAGUCCGGAAGAGGAGAGUGGAAUUCCUGGUGUAGCGGUGAAAUGCGCAGAUAUCAGGAAGAACACCCGUGGCGAAGGCGGCUCUCUGGGACGGUACUGACGCUGAGACGCGAAAGCGUGGGGAGCGAACAGG